RNAcentral lists this ribosomal RNA (2157 nucleotides) under Staphylococcus aureus M0447. RNAcentral describes it as "bacterial LSU rRNA". It matches the Rfam family "Bacterial large subunit ribosomal RNA", at positions 3 to 2158 of the family's 2925-position model. Lineage: Bacteria; Bacillati; Bacillota; Bacilli; Caryophanales; Staphylococcaceae. The record is from RNAcentral.
UUAAGUUAUUAAGGGCGCACGGUGGAUGCCUUGGCACUAGAAGCCGAUGAAGGACGUUACUAACGACGAUAUGCUUUGGGGAGCUGUAAGUAAGCUUUGAUCCAGAGAUUUCCGAAUGGGGAAACCCAGCAUGAGUUAUGUCAUGUUAUCGAUAUGUGAAUACAUAGCAUAUCAGAAGGCACACCCGGAGAACUGAAACAUCUUAGUACCCGGAGGAAGAGAAAGAAAAUUCGAUUCCCUUAGUAGCGGCGAGCGAAACGGGAAGAGCCCAAACCAACAAGCUUGCUUGUUGGGGUUGUAGGACACUCUAUACGGAGUUACAAAGGACGACAUUAGACGAAUCAUCUGGAAAGAUGAAUCAAAGAAGGUAAUAAUCCUGUAGUCGAAAAUGUUGUCUCUCUUGAGUGGAUCCUGAGUACGACGGAGCACGUGAAAUUCCGUCGGAAUCUGGGAGGACCAUCUCCUAAGGCUAAAUACUCUCUAGUGACCGAUAGUGAACCAGUACCGUGAGGGAAAGGUGAAAAGCACCCCGGAAGGGGAGUGAAAUAGAACCUGAAACCGUGUGCUUACAAGUAGUCAGAGCCCGUUAAUGGGUGAUGGCGUGCCUUUUGUAGAAUGAACCGGCGAGUUACGAUUUGAUGCAAGGUUAAGCAGUAAAUGUGGAGCCGUAGCGAAAGCGAGUCUGAAUAGGGCGUUUAGUAUUUGGUCGUAGACCCGAAACCAGGUGAUCUACCCUUGGUCAGGUUGAAGUUCAGGUAACACUGAAUGGAGGACCGAACCGACUUACGUUGAAAAGUGAGCGGAUGAACUGAGGGUAGCGGAGAAAUUCCAAUCGAACCUGGAGAUAGCUGGUUCUCUCCGAAAUAGCUUUAGGGCUAGCCUCAAGUGAUGAUUAUUGGAGGUAGAGCACUGUUUGGACGAGGGGCCCCUCUCGGGUUACCGAAUUCAGACAAACUCCGAAUGCCAAUUAAUUUAACUUGGGAGUCAGAACAUGGGUGAUAAGGUCCGUGUUCGAAAGGGAAACAGCCCAGACCACCAGCUAAGGUCCCAAAAUAUAUGUUAAGUGGAAAAGGAUGUGGCGUUGCCCAGACAACUAGGAUGUUGGCUUAGAAGCAGCCAUCAUUUAAAGAGUGCGUAAUAGCUCACUAGUCGAGUGACACUGCGCCGAAAAUGUACCGGGGCUAAACAUAUUACCGAAGCUGUGGAUUGUCCUUUGGACAAUGGUAGGAGAGCGUUCUAAGGGCGUUGAAGCAUGAUCGUAAGGACAUGUGGAGCGCUUAGAAGUGAGAAUGCCGGUGUGAGUAGCGAAAGACGGGUGAGAAUCCCGUCCACCGAUUGACUAAGGUUUCCAGAGGAAGGCUCGUCCGCUCUGGGUUAGUCGGGUCCUAAGCUGAGGCCGACAGGCGUAGGCGAUGGAUAACAGGUUGAUAUUCCUGUACCACCUAUAAUCGUUUUAAUCGAUGGGGGGACGCAGUAGGAUAGGCGAAGCGUGCGAUUGGAUUGCACGUCUAAGCAGUAAGGCUGAGUAUUAGGCAAAUCCGGUACUCGUUAAGGCUGAGCUGUGAUGGGGAGAAGACAUUGUGUCUUCGAGUCGUUGAUUUCACACUGCCGAGAAAAGCCUCUAGAUAGAAAAUAGGUGCCCGUACCGCAAACCGACACAGGUAGUCAAGAUGAGAAUUCUAAGGUGAGCGAGCGAACUCUCGUUAAGGAACUCGGCAAAAUGACCCCGUAACUUCGGGAGAAGGGGUGCUCUUUAGGGUUAACGCCCAGAAGAGCCGCAGUGAAUAGGCCCAAGCGACUGUUUAUCAAAAACACAGGUCUCUGCUAAACCGUAAGGUGAUGUAUAGGGGCUGACGCCUGCCCGGUGCUGGAAGGUUAAGAGGAGUGGUUAGCUUCUGCGAAGCUACGAAUCGAAGCCCCAGUAAACGGCGGCCGUAACUAUAACGGUCCUAAGGUAGCGAAAUUCCUUGUCGGGUAAGUUCCGACCCGCACGAAAGGCGUAACGAUUUGGGCACUGUCUCAACGAGAGACUCGGUGAAAUCAUAGUACCUGUGAAGAUGCAGGUUACCCGCGACAGGACGGAAAGACCCCGUGGAGCUUUACUGUAGCCUGAUAUUGAAAUUCGGCACAGCUUGUACAGGAUAGGUAGGAGCCUUU